UGGGGAAUCUUGCACAAUGGGCGAAAGCCUGAUGCAGCAACGCCGCGUGCGGGAAGACAGCCCUAGGGUUGUAAACCGCUUUCAGCAGGGAAGAAACUGACGGUACCUGCAGAAGAAGAUGCGGCCAACUACGUGCCAGCAGCCGCGGUGACACGUAGGCAUCAAGCGUUAUCCGGAUUUAUUGGGCGUAAAGAGCUCGUAGGCGGUUCGGUAAGUCGGGUGUGAAACUCUGGGCUCAACCCAGAGAGGCCACUCGAUACUGCUGUGACUAGAGUGCGGUAGGGGAGCGGGGAAUUCCUGGUGUAGCGGUGAAAUGCGCAGAUAUCAGGAGGAACACCAGUGGCGAAGGCGCCGCUCUGGGCCGUAACUGACGCUGAGGAGCGAAAGCAUGGGUAGCAAACAGGAUUAGAUACCCUGGUAGUCCAUGCCGUAAACGUUGGG
Molecule: ribosomal RNA, 441 nt
Filed under: uncultured bacterium
Lineage: Bacteria
Description: bacterial SSU rRNA
Rfam family: Bacterial small subunit ribosomal RNA
Source: RNAcentral